GGUUUAUUGAUGGAAAUAACAAAAUUCCAUUGAAAGUCUUAAAAGAGAUGGUGCUUUCAAGCUUUCCACAGAAAAUUGGGCUCUAGAUUCAGAGAAAUAAUGGAUUUGGGGGGGAAUGUGAGUACACUCAGACUCCUGUUAAAAACUUAUGUGAUUUCUAUGUAAAAAAGUCACAUCUUGUAAUUUUUCAGGGCCUUUGAAUAAGGACCAGAAUGGUUGCGGCUCUGAGGACAGGAGGCUUUAUACUGCUUGUAGUUUAAGUCUAUUGGGAGACUCUUCAAUUUAUUUGCUAUCAGUUGGCACAUAUAACAUGUAACCAGUUGAAGCCAGUUCAGCAUAGAGCUGCCUUGCUCAUGGAAGCCAGCAGCGGCACAAGAGCAUUCCAAGUCCCUAUGCCGCCCAUUAAGUCAUGUUCCCCUCAGCCUCAUCCAUUUCUAUACCCAGGGAGUCCAGGUUGAAACAAUCUUAGGAAACAUUUAUUUAUUUUGUAUUUUUAGGGCCACACCGGUGGCAUAUGGAGGUUCCCAGGCUAGGGGUCUAAUCGGAGUUGUAGCUGCCAGCCUAUGCCAGAGCCACAGCAACGCAGGAUCUGAGCUGUGUCUGUGACCUACACCACAGCUUAUGGCAACAGUGGAUCCUAUCCAAAAUCAUUCUUUUAAAAAUUUGAGAAGGCCUAUCUCAUUCCAAAGUCCUUGGCCCACUGGUAGCAUCCUUGAAGAAAAACCCCAAGGUCACAUUUUUGGAGAAGUCUUCAAAUGGCCCUUUCAUACUUAUUGUUAUGAUUACUGUUUUCCUUCUCUGAGCACCUAUACCCACUGUUCUAUUCUCUUACACAGACGUGAAGAUAGAAGUGCUUCAGAAAUAAGAGGAGAUGCACAGAGACAUAAAAUUGGAAUGUAGUUUCUUUUUCUUGUGGCAAGAGAGCAAGAAUUUGAGGUACAAUAUUGCAUCAGAGUACUUUUUUAAUGAUCAGCAGACUUCUGGUAUUCUCUUCUCAAAACUGGAAGUCUGGUAUCAAGUAUCAAAUGUCGAGGUUUUUGUUUUUCCUGUCUUAUCAGAUCAAAGUGAUUCACAAAUACAGGUCAAUCUUCUACAAACUCUUUCAAGUUGUUUUUUUAAAAAAGUACUGACUUGCAGAGGAUAAAAAUAAAAUAGGAUUAAGAUUUAGAGAGAGAAAAACUGGCUAAUAAACAGAAAAUAGUCACCCCUUUCAGAGUUGAGUUAUAAGCUUAACUAAAUGUUCUCUCUACAAAAUCUUUAAAUAUGUUGAGGCCAAAGUCAUACUAAAUAAAAUACACCAAGGGUCCUUUGGUGACUGAAUCAGGUUUGUUGCACCCUACAUGCAACAAGCCAAAACGCAGAGACGCCAAGGUUUGCAGUGGAGAGGAGAAAGAAAGGAAUUUUUCCCAAAGCAGCAAAGUAAGGAUCUUAGAUCUGCCUCCUCAAAGGCAAGGGGUAGGGGUAUUUAUAGGAUAAAAAAUAAAGUGAGGGGCAGUCUGAGGGGUGGGGAUCAUGGAAGGCAUGGGGAAACGCGGAGAAAUGUGAUUGGAAAAAGGUGCUAUAAUUGGUAAUCAUUGCCCUGUGCAGGUGUAACUAAGCUACCGGCUUCUGCAGGUUCAAACACGGAGGCACUUAGCACAAUCUGAGAGUGGCGUUUUCAGCCCUCUGACAUCAAAAGCUCCCUGAGCAGACACUGGCGCAUGCUCAGUUGGAGGAUCAGUGUUCUUAUCCAGUCUUAACCAGCCUCACUCGAACUAGACAGAGCUGACUCCCAUUUCUGGGAAACAGCUGGGGCUACAGUGCAUGCAGUUUGGAGGAUGUGCAAGUCCUAACAACAAUUAAAACGACCUUGAUUAGUAAAGACAGAUGAAAUAGAUCUGACUGAUGAUUACCCAAGGUUUCACUUUACCCUCAUAACAGUCUUCUGAAUGCAAUUAUCUUGGGACAAUCCUAUCUUAGAGAAUCUGUGUAUGUUCAAAGGCGGGGGGAGACAAGCUGGAUGGAUAACUUAUUGGAAAGAAUCAGGGAGAGACCAUAGAGACGGAUAUAGCUCUGACUAGGGAAGAAACAGACACCCAUUAAGACCCCAAAUGCUCUCUCUCCCUGCUCCUCUCCCUCUCCCCUUUCUCUGUUUCUUUUUCACAUGGGCAAAAUAGAGUCAUCACAGGCCUGACUUAAGUUCAGAAAUCCCUUAGACUCACUAGAUUUCCCCAAAUGCAUUUUCAAAUGCCAGAAAGAAGCAAUACCCAGCCUCUGUCCAAUCAUCUGCAGUAGGUGGAUGGGGCAGGAACUAGCCACUCUGGAAGCAGCCUGACUCUCUCAUCCCUUUGGGGCAUCAGAACACUUGCCCAGAGAGCUUGAGGGCUAAGUUAAUUACCUUAGGAAUUUGUUUAUUAUCUAUAUAUUUGUUUAUAAUAUGCUAUAAUUAAUUCCCAAUGGUCAGAGAGACUAGUUUUCCUUUCAUGUCAACAGUAACCACUAAACAGUGAAAGGAUUCAGUUUGGCAUAGUUCUUCAAAAGAUACACAGAAUUCUUCAAUCCACUCCCACCACUACCACACAUCCACCGUCUCCACAUCCUCCCUCCCCUGUCUGUCACCUCCCGACAGACUACAUCUGAGAUAACUGUAAACACAAAGAAGUUAUCAUUGGCCUGAUAGCAAAGAAGGUAAUAAUACCUCCCUCUAGCUUUCUUCAAAAGGAUGUUGUUGACAGUGAAUUCACUACUGUUUAUUGAGUACUUUGAGUUUCUCAGGAGAUAGUCACUGUAUAAAUACAAGGUAUUAUUACUAUUAUUACUACGUUUAACAUGUGGUUAAUAGUGGGAAAUUUUUUUUUACAGUCCCAGCUGUAAACUAUAGCUGUAAAUUCUUUCCUUCUUCUUUAAAGCUGUUCCAGAGGAUUUGAACAAUGAUACUACAGUAACAAUUCAAGUACAUCACUGUGCCUAAUGAAUAACAGCACUCUUGAUUAAUGGCACUUGUUCAACAUCACACUGACAGAAGUAUGAAGUGUUAAAAAAAAAAAAAACAAAAAACGGACUGAAUUUUUUUCGAGCUGGAUUUUUUUUAUUAUUACCUUUUCAUCUAUUCAACUGCUGUUGUAUUUUUUUCAUUCAACAAGUAUUCUGCUUUUGUCUCACGCUGGUACUUGCUAUCAGAGGGUUAUCACUCAAGAGAUCUGCCCUAGGACCUGCCAAGCAUCUCAGCAAUCAGCAAGUCGGCUGCUACCCUAGCCAGAGACCUCUACCCAGGGUGAAAAAGGAGGAGGGUGGGAAAGGGAAGGAGGGCAAGCGUUGCUGACAGGCACACACUGGUCACAGCUGACAAGGAAUAGCCAGGUGCUGGCAAUAUCUAUCACGGAGCCAUUGGUGAAUUGUAGGUGACUGGAGGCAUACUUCACGGUGCUGUAUCAGAGUUUAUGUAUUUUACUAACCUUAUUUCAUUGGGUUGAAGCUAUACAGUUUUAUGGGUCCCCCAACCCUCUACUAGUUGGAAAUAAAUUCCUCCUCAGCCAUAUAUCAGAGGAUGACACUGACUGUUGGCCCAUCUCUCUGGGCAAACGCUCUGCCUGUAUUUCUUCUUUUCUUUCAGCCUGGAGGUAGGGUGCAGGGGUGUGGAGAUGGGAGUGUUUCUGUAUGACAUGCAGGAGGGAAAAAUCUCCGUAGUUCAAGGUGAGGGGGGAAGUGCAACCCGAAUGCCAGCUUUAGCCUCUUGUCGCAUCCUGUCUUGCAAAUUGUUCAUUCCGCUGGCGAUUUGAAUGGUUAGCACGAUUGUCAGCUAUCUCUGCACUCCAGCUUUUCUCUCUCCUGGCAGGAACAUCUGGGACACAGACUUUACAAACAGUAAUAAUAACCCUACUUUAGCUUUCACAUUUUUGCAGUUGUUAUUAUGUCAUCAUGGUAAAUGACCAUAAUUGACCCCCACAAUGAAAUGUUGCCAACAUUCAUAUGAAUAGAACUGCAGUCGUGCAGGCUAGCAGGCUAGCAGGCAUGUGCUUUGCAAAUAAAAAUUUUGCUGAAUAGCUGAAAUCUCAGGUUCGUUUGGGGACCUGCGUAUUUCAGAGUUAUAAGAGAAAAUGAUUUGUUUCUGAAACAGAAGAGUGCUGCACACAGGAACCUAAAUAGGAGGUCAGGGGUAAGUAUUAAAAGGAGAUUUCCAGAAUUUGCAGGAGCCCUCGUGUCUCUGGGGGCUGAUGUUGAUACACAGUGAUGAGUCAUGAGACUCCACCUGAGCAUGGAGAUCUUCUAAUUCUAUUUCUCAUUAAAAGGGCACACACAAAAUACACAUACACACACAACCCCACACACACAAUUCAACCAUCUCUACCAUCCCAGAAUUAUCUCAUCUCUUCUGACCUUCUCCAGAACUGGCCUGAAAUGAGGACAUAACAAAACAGUGAAGAAGCGACAAUGCCCAAACACAUAUCAAUUCUCUGACUAUAACUGUGCAUUUUAAUAUUGUGCUCAGGAUGCAAUUCCAGCUAAAUUAGUCGUGACAAUUUUCACCUGAUGUGGUUGAGAAAUCAAGAUCAUUUCAAGAUGGUUUUCUCAAUAAAUGAAUGAAUGGGUGAAUAAAUGAAUGAAAUCUAUCUGCUCCUAUUUCUAAGAAACCUAUUUUAAUCACAGAAUGCCUAUUUUUUUAUUAGGCUCUCUUUUCUCAAACCGGGCACAUUGCCCUAAAAUAAAACAACCCAGCACAGAAAGCAGGGACCUUGAAAUUAGCUCUAUAUAGAUUUAUGUAAUCUAAAGAAACCUUGCUGGUUCAGUCACUGUCAUCCAGAGCCAGUUAAAAUUACUCACACAGGAUUUUGAAACCUGCCCCCAAAGUCUUCUCUCAAUUCUUCCUCAUGUUCCAGAAACAAACUUCUCUCCAGUUCUGCUCUUCUACUUAAUGAAAACUCCUUUAGGGAGAAAAACCAGCAGCCUCACAUCAUUCUUGCUAUAUUAAGAAAGAUCAUGACAUUUUCAUUACAAACAUAAUAAUAGAAAUUAUUCAACUAUCCCUAUGAUUUACAAAUGAUAGGGAAAUUGAGAAAGAACUUUGCUUGGCCAGUUUCUUGCAUUUUUUUUUUUCCUUAUUACAGCCACAACUGUGGCAUAUGGAAGUUCCCAGGCUAAGGGGUCGAAUGAGAGUUGCAGCUGAGGCCUACAUGACAGUCAUAGCAAUAUGGGAUCCGAGCCACAGCUUGCAGCAAUGCCAGAUCC
RNAcentral lists this long non-coding RNA (5205 nucleotides) under Sus scrofa (pig). RNAcentral's name for it is "lncRNA (ENSSSCG00000052480.1)". The record is from RNAcentral. Lineage: Eukaryota; Metazoa; Chordata; Mammalia; Artiodactyla; Suidae.